RNAcentral lists this transfer RNA (86 nucleotides) under Candidatus Omnitrophota bacterium. RNAcentral's name for it is "tRNA-Leu". It matches the Rfam family "tRNA". From Rfam's summary of the family: Transfer RNA (tRNA) molecules are approximately 80 nucleotides in length. Their secondary structure includes four short double-helical elements and three loops (D, anti-codon, and T loops). Lineage: Bacteria; Pseudomonadati; Candidatus Omnitrophota. The record is from RNAcentral.
GCGCAGGUGGUGAAAUGGCAGACACGAUAGUUUGAGGGGCUAUUGGCCGCAAGGCUGUGUGGGUUCAACUCCCACCCUGCGCACCA